This 478-nucleotide ribosomal RNA is filed under the name uncultured bacterium. RNAcentral describes it as "partial 16S ribosomal RNA". It matches the Rfam family "Bacterial small subunit ribosomal RNA", at positions 28 to 523 of the family's 1533-position model. The record is from RNAcentral.
GACGAACGCUGGCGGCGUGCUUAACACAUGCAAGUCGAGCGAUGAAGCUCCUUCGGGAGUGGAUUAGCGGCGGACGGGUGAGUAACACGUGGGUAACCUGCCUCAUAGAGGGGAAUAGCCUUUCGAAAGGAAGAUUAAUACCGCAUAAGAUUGUAGCUUCGCAUGAAGCAGCAAUUAAAGGAGUAAUCCGCUAUGAAAUGGACCCGCGUCGCAUUAGCUAGUUGGUGAGGUAACGGCUCACCAAGGCGACGAUGCGUAGCCGACCUGAGAGGGUGAUCGGCCACAUUGGGACUGAGACACGGCCCAGACUCCUACGGGGGGCAGCAGUGGGGAAUAUUGCACAAUGGGGGAAACCCUGAUGCAGCAACGCCGCGUGAGUGAUGACGGUCUUCGGAUUGUAAAGCUCUGUCUUCAGGGACGAUAAUGACGGUACCUGAGGAGGAAGCCACGGCUAACUACGUGCCAGCAGCCGCGGUAA